RNAcentral lists this long non-coding RNA (552 nucleotides) under Homo sapiens (human). Its description in RNAcentral is "cell death inducing DFFA like effector b (ENSG00000285199.1)". Lineage: Eukaryota; Metazoa; Chordata; Mammalia; Primates; Hominidae. The record is from RNAcentral.
CCGGUGGAGCCAGCGCUGCGACCGCCUGCAGAAGGUUGACUGCGUGGUAGGGGGCCCAGAGCAAGCCGAAGGCAAGCACGAUGGCGCUCACCAGCCGGCCCACCCGCGCCCCGUGCCGCCCGGAGCCCCAGCGGGCGCCCCGCAGCCGUGCCAGCGUCACGCUGUAGCAGCCGAGCAUCAGCCCGAAAGGAAGCACGAAAGCGGUGGCGGUAGACGGCGGCCGGGACGGCGAGCAACAGGGCGGCCAGCCAGACCGCCAGCAGCAGGCGGCGGGCCAGGGCCGGGCUGCGCAGCCGAGGCGCCAGGAAGGGGCGGGUGACUGCGAGGCAGCGCUGCAGGCUGAGCAGGCCGGUGAGCAGCACGCUGGCGUACAUGCUGAGCGCGCACACGUAGUACACCGCCUUGCAGCCCGCCUGGCCCAGCGGCCAGGCCUGCCGGGUCAGGAAGGCCACAAAGAGCGGCGUGAGCAGCAGCACCGCGCCGUCGGCCAGCGCCAGGUGCAGCACAAGCGUGGCCGCCAGCGGUCGCCCCCGUGCAGGCCGCCAGCCCGCC